CCUUAUGCCAAUAGGAUAUGUAGUUAGACUAGAUCUAUGUAUUCAUAUCCUUACUAUAUUGGUAUUGUGUAAUUCCCUAUAUAAAGGGCUCCUAUCAAUGAAUAAGAUGACUCUCUUGCUAUCUCUUUGUCUCUACACUUUAUUCUUCAUCACGUUAUCAUGCACUUUGUUCUAACUCUAGAGCCAUUAGCCCACCAUUUUUUUUUCCAAACCCUAAAAACCAAAACCCUAAAAUCGGGCAGCCUUGUUUUUCCCGAUUUCCGACCAAAAUUCCGACUGCCCUCCGCCGGAAUUUUAUAUCCCCAGAAAGCUCUUUCCGUCACGGAUCCAACGCCGCCGGCCUCACCCUGAGAACCGGCCGGAAAGUCUCCGAACCGGCCGCCGGAAAAUUCCAGACCGCCGCCGCUACCGACCACCGGUUCACCACCUUCCUUUGCUCCGAUCAACCUGAAAUUUUGACAGAAGCUUCCCCAUCCAGAGCAGCUCCUCCUGUCAAAUUUUCAGCCCCAAAUUCGAAGUAUAAGUAGGCGAAACGUUAUUUCUCCUCUCGGCAGCCUUUAGAAAGGUAUGUUUUGAAACCUUAAACUCUUCCAAGUUCAAUAACUCGGGGAGGAUAAAAUCAUUUCCUCCCUUCUCCAUCUCCAUUCUAUGAUUGGGAUUUUGUGUGUACAGGUACCAAAAAUCCCGGAAUUUUAUUCGUGGGUCAAGAGUAUGUUGGAUCACUCUUGUUUCUUUGUCCGGGUUGUGUUUGAUCAACCCCGACCUUUCACCGGAUUGUGUUUGAUCAAUCUGAGGCCUUUUUCCGAAUUGUGUUUGAUCAAUUCGCGGCUUUUCCGGAUUGUGUAUGAUCAAUCCGAAGGACAAACCAUUAAAAGCAUCGUUUGUGACCUCUAUCGAGUCUCAUAACAGCUUGGUUUUGUAUGCAAGAGCAAUGUAACAUUCUGCUCCUUUGAGUUUUGACGUACUAGAUGCCUAAGGCGGAUCUUCGCUUGGUAUCUGUGAAACCUUUCAUUGGAAAGGAUUAAACCACAUGUUUUGACCCCCAGGCUAACAGGC
This 1056-nucleotide long non-coding RNA is filed under the name Fragaria vesca (wild strawberry). Its description in RNAcentral is "long non-coding RNA (FVES_LNC004607)". The record is from RNAcentral. Lineage: Eukaryota; Viridiplantae; Streptophyta; Magnoliopsida; Rosales; Rosaceae.